Long non-coding RNA from Carcharodon carcharias (great white shark), 530 nucleotides. RefSeq lists it as uncharacterized. The transcript is spliced from 3 exons. Lineage: Eukaryota; Metazoa; Chordata; Chondrichthyes; Lamniformes; Lamnidae. The record is from RefSeq and is a predicted model, not a curated record.
AGCGCCCCGGGCGGGCGGCGGCGGCGACGACUACUACUCGGAGAGGCUGCUCGCCCGCUCGGGCAGGAAGGCGCGGCUCUCGGCCGAACCGCACAAGGAGACGGCCGGCUGGGAAUUGGUCGGUGAGGAGCUGAACUACCGGAGCGUCACCUUCAAAAGACUGGAUUGGAGUUUUCCUCCUGACGUCUCGCUUUCGGGCAGCUGCGCUGAAGUGAAAGAAACCUCGCAACAUCGACCCCAAUCGAGCCGCCCCUAACUUUAUUGCUCCCUGAUUCUACCAAUAAGGAUGGAUAGGAAUGAUCAAAAACAAUGUAGAACAUGACUGUUUCUGAACAGUUGAGACCAGAGAAAUGGAACCACAUGGAAAAUGAUUGGUCACAGCUGAGUAAUGAAGAUGCUGCCAGGCCUACUGAUUAUUUCCAGCACUUCCUGUUUUUAUUUCAGAUUUCAGAUCUGCAGCAUUGAUCUGCAGCUUUUAUUGAUCCAAUUGAAUGAUGUUCACCAGUGUGCCCACCAUGCUGAUGUAAAUA